Molecule: ribosomal RNA, 430 nt
Filed under: Bacteroidota bacterium
Lineage: Bacteria; Pseudomonadati; Bacteroidota
Description: Bacteroidetes bacterium partial 16S ribosomal RNA
Rfam family: Bacterial small subunit ribosomal RNA
Source: RNAcentral
UAGGGAAUCUUCGGCAAUGGGGGGAACCCUGACCGAGCAACGCCGCGUGAGUGAAGAAGGUUUUCGGAUCGUAAAGCUCUGUUGUUAAGGAAGAACGAGUGUGAGAAUGGAAAGUUCAUGCUGUGACGGUACUUAACCAGAAAGGGACGGCUAACUACGUGCCAGCAGCCGCGGUAAUACGUAGGUCCCGAGCGUUGUCCGGAUUUAUUGGGCGUAAAGCGAGCGCAGGCGGUCAAUUAAGUCUGAUGUGAAAGCCCCCGGCUCAACCGGGGAGGGUCAUUGGAAACUGGUUGACUUGAGUGCAGAAGAGGAGAGUGGAAUUCCAUGUGUAGCGGUGAAAUGCGUAGAUAUAUGGAGGAACACCAGUGGCGAAGGGGACUCUCUGGUCUGUAACUGACGCUGAGGCUCGAAAGCGUGGGUAGCAAACAGG